This 787-nucleotide long non-coding RNA is filed under the name Prunus persica (peach). Its description in RNAcentral is "long non-coding RNA (PPER_LNC002148)". The record is from RNAcentral. Lineage: Eukaryota; Viridiplantae; Streptophyta; Magnoliopsida; Rosales; Rosaceae.
UCACCGUUGGAUGUAAAUUCAACGGUUCACUCUUGCACUCUUUUUAAGAAACUUUUUUGAACCAUUGGAUUAAUAUCCAACGGUGGGUGACCACAAUCUCUUGGACUCCUGUAGUCCAAGAGAUGGGGACUAUAUAUAUAUAUAUAUAUAUAUAUAUAUAUACAGAGAGCUUCCAUUGAGGGAUCCCUCAAAUAAGCUUAUUUGAGGGACACCCCUUGUAGGCCCCACUCCGGAUUGUAUUUCACUAAUCCAAACCGUCUAUUUUGUAGAUACUCAUUCAAAGAUCAUCUCUACAAAAAAUCACUUGAAUCCGAUAUCAUGUGACCACUCAAUUGAGUUAUUGAAAUUUUAGUACUUUUCUUAAAGCACCGUGUUCAUUGAUUUUGUAAGACACAAUUGGAUGUCGAAACGGUUUCCGAUUUGUCUAAUUUUUUGUAAGGAUGAUCUAUGAAUGAAUACCUAAAAAAUAGAUGGUUUCGAUUAUUGGGAAAAGAAUUGUAGGGUACCCUAAAGGGCGUCCCUCAAAUAAAAUUAUUUGAGGGAUCCCUCAAUAGAAGGGGACUGUAUAUAUAUAUAUAUACACAGAGAGCUUCCAUUGAGGGAUCCCUCAAAUUAGCUUAUUUGAGGGAUACCAUUGUAGGGCCCACUAUGUAUUGUAUUUCACUAAUCCAAACCGUCUCUUUUGUAGAUACUUAUUCAAAGAUCAUCUCUACAAAAAAUCACUUGAAUCCGAUAUCAUUUGACCACUCAAUUGAAUUAUUGAAAUUUUAGUACUUUCUUGAAGCAC